Molecule: ribosomal RNA, 218 nt
Filed under: uncultured prokaryote
Description: partial 16S ribosomal RNA
Rfam family: Bacterial small subunit ribosomal RNA
Source: RNAcentral
UACAGAGGUCUCAAGCGUUGUUCGGAUUUACUGGGCGUAAAGGGCGCGUAGGCGGCCACGACAAGUCACUUGUGAAAUCUCCGGGCUUAACUCGGAACGGUCAAGUGAUACUGUCGGGCUAGAGUACAGAAGGGGCAACUGGAAUUCUCGGUGUAGCGGUGAAAUGCGUAGAUAUCGAGAGGAACACCUGCGGCGAAGGCGGGUUGCUGGGCCGACAC